GACGAACGCUGGCGGCGUGCUUAACACAUGCAAGUCGAACGGAAAGGCCCUGCUUUUGUGGGGUGCUCGAGUGGCGAACGGGUGAGUAACACGUGAGUAACCUGCCCUUGACUUUGGGAUAACUUCAGGGAACUGGGGCUAAUACCGGAGAGGAUCUCCUGCUGCAUGUGGGUGGUUGGAAAGUGUCGGCGGUUGGGGAUGGACUCGCGGCUUAUCAGCUGGUUGGUGGGGUAGUGGCUUCCCAAGGUUUUGACGGGUAGCCGGCCUGGGAGGGUGAACGGCCACAUUGGGACUGAGAUACGGACCAGACUGCUACGGGAGGCAGUAGUGGGGAAUAUUGCACAAUGGGCGGACGCCUGAUGUAGCAACGCCGCGUGCGGGAUGACGGCCUUCGGGUUGUAAACAGAUUUCGCCUGUGCCGAAGCGUGCGUGACGGUAAUGGGUAAAGAAGCACCGGCUAACUACGUG
Molecule: ribosomal RNA, 468 nt
Filed under: uncultured bacterium
Lineage: Bacteria
Description: partial 16S ribosomal RNA
Rfam family: Bacterial small subunit ribosomal RNA
Source: RNAcentral